Quercus robur (English oak) is the source of this 283-nucleotide long non-coding RNA. RefSeq lists it as uncharacterized. The record is from RefSeq and is a predicted model, not a curated record. The transcript has 3 exons. Lineage: Eukaryota; Viridiplantae; Streptophyta; Magnoliopsida; Fagales; Fagaceae.
AAAAUUGGCUUCAAGCCACAAUUCCAAUUUCUCAUCGCCAAUCAAGGGAUGAUGUUGAGGCAUUGGAGGAGGAGUUACUUGACUUAGUUUUAAAUCAACAACCAGCAAAUACAAGCUCAAGCAAGGGUUCCACUUCAGGCAAACGACCCUUGAUUAGCAUUGAUGGUUAAUUAGUGACUUGGAGGAUGGUAAUUUAUUUUGUAAAGAAGGCAGCAUUUUGGAAAUAUUUUGGAAGCUUUUUGGACAUAUUGCUUUUCUAACUUGUAACAAUACUCAACUGUCA